RNAcentral lists this transfer RNA (82 nucleotides) under Fructobacillus papyriferae. RNAcentral describes it as "tRNA-Leu". It matches the Rfam family "tRNA". Rfam says of the family: Transfer RNA (tRNA) molecules are approximately 80 nucleotides in length. Their secondary structure includes four short double-helical elements and three loops (D, anti-codon, and T loops). RNAcentral also lists the same sequence under 2 other names. The record is from RNAcentral. Lineage: Bacteria; Bacillati; Bacillota; Bacilli; Lactobacillales; Lactobacillaceae.
GCGGAUGUGGCGGAAUUGGCAGACGCGCUAGAUUUAGGUUCUAGUGGAUUUAUCCGUGCAGGUUCGAUUCCUGUCAUCCGUA